CAGCCGCCGCGGUAAUACGUAGGUGGCAAGCGUUGUCCGGAUUUACUGGGUGUAAAGGGUGCGUAGGCGGGGCAGCAAGUUGGAUGUGAAAUCCUCGGGCUCAACUCGAGAACUGCAUUCAAAACUGUUGCUCUUGAGUGCAGUAGAGGCAAGCGGAAUUCCCGGUGUAGCGGUGAAAUGCGCAGAGAUCGGGAGGAACACCAGUGGCGAAGGCGGCUUGCUGGGCUGUUACUGACGCUGAGGCACGAAAGCAUGGGUAGCAAACAGGAUUAGAUACCCUGGUAGUCCAUGCUGUAAACGAUGAUUACUAGGUGUGGGUGGACUGACCCCAUCCGUGCCGGAGUUAACACAUUAAGUAAUCCACCUGGGGAGUACGCCGGCAACGGUGAAACUCAAAGGAAUUGGCGGGGGAGCAC
This 416-nucleotide ribosomal RNA is filed under the name uncultured bacterium. RNAcentral describes it as "bacterial SSU rRNA". It matches the Rfam family "Bacterial small subunit ribosomal RNA", at positions 509 to 924 of the family's 1533-position model. The record is from RNAcentral.